UGGGAGCACUGGGAGCAAUGGGAGCAAUGGGAGGUGAUAUUGGGAGCACUGGGAGCACUGGGAGCACUGGGAGUAAUGGGAGGUGUUACUGGGAGCACUGGGAGGUGAUACUGGGAGCACUGGGAGCACUGGGAGUAAUGGGAGGUGAUACUGGGAGCAAUGGGAGGUGAUACUGGGAGCACUGGGAGCACUGGCAGCACUGGGAGCACUGGGAGCACUGGGAGCUGUGCAGCAAGGUGAACUGGGAGCACUGGGAGCAAUGGGAGCAAUGGGAACACUGGGAGCACUGGGAGCACUGGGAGCACUGGGAGUAAUGGGAG
Molecule: long non-coding RNA, 320 nt
Organism: Tympanuchus pallidicinctus (lesser prairie-chicken)
Lineage: Eukaryota; Metazoa; Chordata; Aves; Galliformes; Phasianidae
Exons: 4
Source: RefSeq, a predicted model, not a curated record